ACCUGUGUGUAUAUUAGACACCCCGGCCUCCUCACAACCUGUGUGUGUAUUAACACCCCGGCCUCCUCACUACCUGUGUGUGUAUUAGACACCCCGGCCCCCUCGCUACCUAUCAACUAUGGCCUGAGUAUGAUAGACUUAUCCAUGGUUUAAACAGAAUAUAUUGUUUUCAACUUUGAAAAUAAGAAUAUGGAAAUCCAGAUGCAGAAAUGUGAGAAGAAAAGAGAGUAAACAGAGUGGAAGGUCAGGUGACCUUGCCUGUCAUGAAUAUGAAGGUCAAGGUGUGUGAAUUGUGAAAUUUCCAAGAGAACCUCACUGAAGCAAAGAAUGGAGAAAGAAUCGCAUUUGGCCCUGGGAGCGUGCAGGGGUGAAUGGUGCAGGAGCUAAAUCUUUAUCAUACCCAGAAAUCAACAGCCACUAUUUGAAAUCAUCUAAAUUCGUGCUGCUAACCUUCAGUGUACACACAAAUCACCUGGGGAUCUUAUUAAAAGCUAGUUUCUGAUUCACUAAA
RNAcentral lists this long non-coding RNA (511 nucleotides) under Pan troglodytes (chimpanzee). RNAcentral's name for it is "lincRNA". Lineage: Eukaryota; Metazoa; Chordata; Mammalia; Primates; Hominidae. The record is from RNAcentral.